Salvia splendens (bonfire salvia) is the source of this 1900-nucleotide long non-coding RNA. RefSeq lists it as uncharacterized. The transcript is spliced from 3 exons. Lineage: Eukaryota; Viridiplantae; Streptophyta; Magnoliopsida; Lamiales; Lamiaceae. The record is from RefSeq and is a predicted model, not a curated record.
ACGAGAUUUUUUCAUUCACCACGAUCCCACUUCUUUUCCGCCACAAACGUGAUUCUGUUCCACUAUCUGCACUUUUAAAUCCCACAACGAAUCCCAACAAUCUUGCUAUCACAUAACCUACUCCAUUCACUUUUCUUGAUUUCAUCAAUGGCGGCCGAUUCAUCAUCUUCCGAUGCCAAAGUCCACAUAAUUUACACCGAACAACAGGGAUGGACGACGGCACUGCUCGGCUACCCGGCGAAUCUCGAACAACAGCAGCGGCGCAGAAGUUAACGAAGUAGAGAACAACAGCGGUGGCUCGGCGUGAGAUCGAGGGGGAGGAACAGCGGCGAAGUCCGGGCGCUCGGCGGGGGCGCUGGGUAGGCUUGAGGCACAGUAAACGGGGGCAGCAACAGCCUGGCAGACAAGGCUACCAAUGUGGAUGCGAGGAAGGAGGGAGCUUCCGAUUUGAAAUUUCCUGAAUUUGAGUUUUAGAGAGGUUGAUCGAUUAGAGAGAGAGAUGGAAGAGAUGAGGUGACAGCAAUGAGAAUUUGGGUUUGAAUUUGGGGAUUGCUCCUGAUUUUGAAAAGGAGGAGACGAGAGAUGUAGAAAUUUAGGAGUGAAGAAGUGAGAACUGACGGAGAAGAUAACCGGCUGAUUUUCCAGCAAGAGGGAGAAGACGGAGGGAGAGCUGGCCAGAAAGAGAUAGAGAGAAUUACCGACGAGGUGGUGAAGCGAGCUUGUCGUCAUGAACGUGGCAGCUGUAACAGAAAUUGAGACGGGAAAGAUGGAGCGUGACGGUGGUCGGUGGGGCUAGACAGCUACGAGCACCGAUGGAAGAGCAACAAAGUGAGGAAGGGGAAGAGAGAGAGUUUGCUGUCAAAGUUGAGAGAAAUAGAGGGAGAAAAAGAGUUUCAGAUGUUGCAAACUAGCGCGAGAGAAAAGAGGGAAAUUGGAGUUCAUUUAGGGGAUUUUAAUUUCUGGGAACAAUACAGAGAGAGGGGGAUUGAUUAGAAUGGAGGAAAGGAAGUGGUUUCCUUUGUUUGUUUGGGUCAACUUUUACUAGAAAUUGGGUCUAGUGAAAUAGUUGGGCUAAAGGAUUUCAAAUCUGUACGUGUAUUAAUUUAAUUGGGCAAGCUGGAUAUGUGAUGUGGGCUAAAUUUAUGAGUAACACGCGAGAAUUUCCAAAUUUCUCAAGAAAGAUCGAAGGGGGAUCAUUUUUUUGACAUGCUAUUUGAGAACGGAAUGGAAAGACAAGUAGAGGAGUUAAACGAUUGAGGUUGAGUUGUGACGAGCGCGGUGGGUGUUGAGCAGAGCUGGUGAAGAUUUGUGUUUGGUUUAAAUGUUCCGAAUAUAUUGUGUCUUCAUACAUAAUAUUAUUCUUCUCUCGAAUGCUUACGCUAAAUGUUGUUUCUUUUGAGUUUAUGUAUUGUUGAGAUAUAAUCCCUUUGAGUUCUCAAUUGUUGAGAUGAUACUCUGAUUUUUAUUCAAGCUAUUCCCGUUUGUUUCGAGCUAUGGUCGAGUUCUGUUGUUUCCCCCUUUCUUCGAGAUCAACCGUGUUUUCUAUCCUUAGAAAAUGCGGGCGUGACAUUACCAUCGGUAGACCUAUAAUAUAUUCAUUCGUGUGAAUUACCUUGUCAAUAACAUUUGGAGCUGGACUAGGACCAAAGAAAUCGCCCGGCUUCAACUCGAUUAUUGAUUUUGUUUGGAUUUUGGUCUUGCUCUGGAAAUUCAUUUGAAACUUCAUUCUAUGUAUGAUUUUCAACAUUAGAACACUCGCCUAAUAACUCAAUAUUUUUUGCUCAUCUAGUUGACCAUAAGCUAGAAGAACUAAAUGUUGUUUCUUUUGAGUUUAUGUAUUGUUGAGAUAUAAUCCCUUUGAGUUCUCAAUUGUUGAGAUGAUACUCUGAUUUUUAUUCAA